UCACGAACAGAUCCCCUGGAUCACGAACAGAUCCCCUGGAUCUCGAAAAGAUCCCCUGGAUCACGAGCAGAUCCCCUGGAUCACGAGCAGAUCCCCUGGAUCACGAACAGAUCCCCUGGAUCUCGAAAAGAUCCCCUGGAUCACGAGCAGAUCAUUGGAUCUACACUCUGCUUGGAAGGUGUGGAUGACUAAUGAAAGCUAAGCAACAUGGCGCCUCUGAAAUGAACAAAUUUUCCCCCGUUAAGCUGAGGAGGAACUUUCAUUUCUACAGGUAUGGCGGACCUUGGCAGUGUUCUACAAGGCCGAUGGCCUUCCCAGAGUUGGAAAUUUGCCCGUGGAACUUAUUUUCUUUGUGGUAGCUUCGACUAUAUGUUAACUUUGAGCAGAGAAACUCGCGCAUAUAGGAUUUGUUUUUUCCUGCGGAGUAAUAUUUUCACAGUAUUGUUUGAAGCGCAAGAGCGGGAGGAUUGGCAAGGCGUCGCUGUGUUUGAUGGAGGGGUGGUUGUGGAGGGGGGAUGGAGAGGUGAGGGAGAAUGUCGACCCAGUGACCUCAGUCUACAAAGGAAAGAUUUUUGAUACAUCGGAUAGAUUUUGUCAUCCGUUUGUGUGUGUUUUCCAGCGCAUUUGUGUCCAUUCAGUAACAAGAGGAGCAGAAGUAUGAGGGCUGAGGAAGCUAAAAGCGAGUGAAUCCAGCAACAGGCAGUUCAGAGGCAUAACUGGACCUCUGAAACCACACAUAAAUAAGUGCCUGUCAAUCCCCAAACUUACCUACUUCCUGAGAUGCUCCCUAGCCUUCAGGAGUCCGAAACUCAAGGAAUAUGACUACCUCCUUAAGACCAUGCUAGAGAGUGUAUUGAAUCUUUUCCUCGAAGAUGGACAAUGGUUGCAAGCCUCACUUCCCGUCAGGCUUGGGGUCUGGCAGUACGCAAAUCCUCCCAGAAUGCCCUACCAUCUUUCCUAUUCUCUUCCAUAGCAUCAAACGAGUUAAUAAAACAAAUUCUUCAGGACAACCUCAGUGACUCAACAGGAAUACAGGACCCUAGCUACGCCAGUGCCGUCACCGAAUGGGAGACUCUUGCUGCUCCAACACCAAAACCUAGUGCAGCACUGGCCUACAAACAGUCAAGUUGGGAUGGCCCCAUCGCUGAAAAGGUGCUUGACAACAAGCUUAGGGCUGUAACAUCAGACAGGAAAACUUCCCGUCUCCAAGCUGUGAUCGCACAUCACUCUGGAGUUUACCUGGAGAGAGUUCCGGGGGUCAACGCCCCCGUGGCCCGGUCUGUGACCAGGCCUCCUGGUGGAUCAGAGCCUGAUCAACCAGGCUGUUGCUGCUGGCUGCACGCAAACCAACGUACGAGCCACAGCCCGGCUGGUCAGGAACCGACUUUAGGUGCUUGUCCAGUGCCAGCUUGAAGACUGCCAGGGGUCUGUUGGUAAUCCCCCUUAUGUAUGCUGGGAGGCAGUUGAACAGUCUCGGGCCCCUGACACUUAUUGUCUCUUAACGUGCUAGUGACACCCCUGCUUUUCAUUGGGGGAUGUUGCAUCGUCUGCCAAGUCUUUUGCUUUCGUAGUGAGUAAUUUUCGUGUGCAAGUUCGGUACUAGUCCCUCUAGGAUUUUCCAGGUGUAUAUAAUCAUGUAUCUGUAUCUUUGGACUUCCUCCAAACAGUUCCCAUUUCGGCAAUGGGAACACGCCUCGACCCUAAGUAUUGCAGUGGCUCUCUGCCUUACUGCCCCGAUUCACAUGGAAUAGACGUGUCCUGUAGCUCGAUCGCUGGCGCUCUCAGCUCACACACUGAGGUCCGGAGAUCGAAUCCCCGGUAUGGCUGGAAAACAUUAGGACGUGUUUCCUUAAGACACCUGUUGUCCAUGUUCACCCAUCAGCAUAAAAUGGGUACCUGGGUGCUACUCGACUAAUGUGGGUCGCAUCCUGGGACAAAACUGACCUAAUUUGCUCAAAAUUCUCUGCAAAACAAGCGGC
Cherax quadricarinatus is the source of this 1979-nucleotide long non-coding RNA. RefSeq lists it as uncharacterized. The record is from RefSeq and is a predicted model, not a curated record. Lineage: Eukaryota; Metazoa; Arthropoda; Malacostraca; Decapoda; Parastacidae.